This 217-nucleotide ribosomal RNA is filed under the name uncultured bacterium. Its description in RNAcentral is "partial 16S ribosomal RNA". It matches the Rfam family "Bacterial small subunit ribosomal RNA", at positions 114 to 334 of the family's 1533-position model. The record is from RNAcentral.
UGCUUGGGAAUCUAGCUUAUGGAGGGGGAUAACUACGGGAAACUGUAGCUAAUACCGCGUAGUAUCGAGAGAUGAAAGUGUGGGACCUUCGGGCCACAUGCCAUAGGAUGAGCCCAAGUGGGAUUAGGUAGUUGGUGAGGUAAAGGCUCACCAAGCCGACGAUCUCUAGCUGGUCUGAGAGGAUGACCAGCCACACUGGGACUGAGACACGGCCCAG